This 899-nucleotide ribosomal RNA is filed under the name uncultured bacterium. Its description in RNAcentral is "bacterial SSU rRNA". It matches the Rfam family "Bacterial small subunit ribosomal RNA", at positions 8 to 916 of the family's 1533-position model. The record is from RNAcentral.
AGAGUUUGAUCAUGGCUCAGGAUGAACGCUGGCGGCGUGCUUAACACAUGCAAGUCGAACGGAGUAAUUAAGGUAGCUUGCUACAUUAAUUACUUAGUGGCGGACGGGUGAGUAACGCGUGGAUAACCUACCUUACACAGGGGGAUAACAACGAGAAAUCGUUGCUAAUACCGCAUAAGUGUGAUUUCCGCAUGGGGAUCAUAUGAAAGCUCCGGCGGUGUAAGAUGGGUCCGCGUCUGAUUAGCUAGUUGGUGAGAUAACAGCCCACCAAGGCAACGAUCAGUAGCCGGCUUGAGAGAGUGGACGGCCACACUGGGACUGAGACACGGCCCAGACUCCUACGGGAGGCAGCAGUGGGGAAUAUUGCACAAUGGGGGAAACCCUGAUGCAGCGACGCCGCGUGAAGGAAGAAGGUCUUCGGAUCGUAAACUUCUAUCAGCAGGGAAGAAGGUAGUGACUGUACCUGACUAAGAAGCCCCGGCUAACUACGUGCCAGCAGCCGCGGUAAUACGUAGGGGGCAAGCGUUAUCCGGAAUCACUGGGUGUAAAGGGUGCGUAGGCGGUAGGGCAAGUCAGAUGUGAAAGCCCGGGGCUCAACUCCGGGAUUGCAUUUGAAACUGUCUUACUAGAGUGCAGGAGAGGAAAGCGGAAUUCCUAGUGUAGCGGUGAAAUGCGUAGAUAUUAGGAAGAACACCAGUGGCGAAGGCGGCUUUCUGGACUGUAACUGACGCUGAGGCACGAAAGCGUGGGGAGCGGACAGGAUUAGAUACCCUGGUAGUCCACGCCGUAAACGAUGAGUGCUAGGUGUCGGGGCCGUGAGUCCCGGUGCUGAAGUCAACGCAUUAAGCACUCCACCUGGGGAGUACGUUCGCAAGAAUGAAACUCAAAUGAAUUGACGG